CACGCCUGCCAGUUGAACAUUUAAACGGCCGCCGGUUACCCUAACCGUGCAAAGGUAGCAUAAUCCAUUUUGUCCUACUAAUUAUAGACCUGUAUGAAUGGCAAAAUGAGGGUCUAACUGUCUCUUAUAAUAAAUCAAUUAAACUGAUCUCCUAGUAAAAAAGCUAGAAUACACACAUAAGACCAGAAGACCCUGUGAAGCUUAAACUAAACUAUUAAACCCACUAAUAGCUACUUUCGGUUGGGGCGACCUUGGAAAAAAAAAGAACUUCCAAACAUAUGACCUACCUCAACACCACAAGGCCAACAAGCCAAAAAACGACCCAGCACAGCUGAUAAAUGAACCAAGUUACUCCAGGGAUAACAGCGCAAUCUUCUUCAAGAGCCCAUAUCAAAAAGAAGGCUUACGACCUCGAUGUUGGAUCAGGACAUCCUAAUGGUGCAGCCGCUAUUAAAGGUUCGUUUGUUCAACGAUUAACAGUCCUACGUGAUCUGAUUCC
This 499-nucleotide ribosomal RNA is filed under the name Dipsadoboa unicolor. RNAcentral describes it as "partial 16S ribosomal RNA". It matches the Rfam family "Bacterial large subunit ribosomal RNA", at positions 1901 to 2612 of the family's 2925-position model. The record is from RNAcentral. Lineage: Eukaryota; Metazoa; Chordata; Lepidosauria; Squamata; Colubridae.